Molecule: long non-coding RNA, 5860 nt
Organism: Tympanuchus pallidicinctus (lesser prairie-chicken)
Lineage: Eukaryota; Metazoa; Chordata; Aves; Galliformes; Phasianidae
Exons: 4
Source: RefSeq, a predicted model, not a curated record
CUUGCACACAGUGAGCUGUAGUAGCUCCAGUGUCACCAAAUGCACAGCAUGCAAACUUACUGUGAACUCAAAACGUGUAUUUUUAGAUGAUUAACCUUCUAAUGUAAGACAGGAAAUGACUUCAGCCAAUACAGAGACAACACAGCUGAGCGUGUGGCUGGCAGGUAUUGCUGUUACGUGGAUUGAGAGGAGACAUGCUGGACAAUCCCACAGCAAUGGCAAAAGCUGUGACCUUUCUGGAGCUCAGCUUUAACCAAUAAAGGACAAGGAAUUUGCCUUUGUUAACUCUGUGUCUCUGUGCCUUGCUGCUGCCAAGGACCCAGGCGCUGGCUGAGGACCCGCGUGGUGCCCUGUGCAACACCCCCACACAGAAUGCAUUCGUCCAAGGGGCACAGAAGGACUCCAGCAAGAAGUGAGCAUUCAAGUGCUUUUAAAAAGCAGCAGCAGUAGUCAGCCCAACUAGGAGAAGAAACAGAGAAUUGGAAAAAGAAUAUCCAGCCUGCAAGUCCUUUCAGGUAUUGCAUUUUCAUUUGUUUACUUCCUGUUGCUUCUUAAAACAGAUAAGAUGAAGAGCUCUGCUUCUUUGCCAUGGAGGAAUCUCUGUAUCACACAGCUGAAGGCUUUGCAACUGAAGUUACAGCUCAAGUGUUUUGUAAAUGUAUUUACAAAAUUUGCAAGCUUAGUGCCUUCAGAAUGAUCUGUGCUUCAUGUGCACUGCAGUUAUCUAUGUUUUCUAUUAGGCAGGGAGGGCUGGUUCAAUAAAAGCUUGAGUAACAUACAGCAGUUCCAACAUCUGCAUCACAUUAGAGCAGACAUGAGACAAAACAUUGACUCUUGAGGUUAAAUCUAAAUUUCCUGCUGCAAUCCUGAAGUUUGAUUUGUUAGGAGAAAAGCAACCAAGAGGAACAGAAAUAGAGACUGCAACUAGAAAUAGAAUUCAAAGCCCAAUGGUUGCCAGCAAUUUGUUAUUUUUAUGAAGUGCCAUUUCAGUUAGAAAUAACAUGCUGACCACAAACAAUCCCCAAGCUAUAGCUGAAAGUCCCUUUUGGACUGGGACAGUUACAGCAGUCACUCCUCUGUAUUUUUAGACACCUUUCCUUUAACAAACUGAGCGCAGAGGAUGCAGUAGGGAAGGCAAAGGGUGUUCCCCUCUUUCUUACAGGAUUUUCAAAAUUCCAUCAUUUCCUACAACACGUUGCUCUCCCCCAUCGUCUUUUAGCUAAGGAGGCCUGGCUAGGGGGCUGCUUUUGGUACUCAUUAAGUCUGUCUUUUAAUUGGCAUUAAGAAGCCCUUUGUGCCUGGGAGCUAAAUUACUGCUUCCGCAUUGCUGCCAUUCCCUGCUGGUCCAGGGAACAAAAGGUGCAGCCUGGAAAGCCACCACCAUGCUGUCCCUCAGGCGCUGGUCCAGCUCUGCAAUGCCCAAGGGAUGGCCUUGCUGCUUUCUUCUUUUUUCUUUUUUUAAAUAGCCCAUUUUAUUUUAAAAUCGUAACAAAGUCAAGCUUAGUGCAUUAGAAGCUACAGACAAUUCAUGGAUUCACAGAAUGGCAGGGUUUGGAAGGGACCUCUAGAGACUGUGGAGUCCAACCCCCACAUGCUUGUUAAAAAUAUCACUGCUGUUGUAUUUUUUCAGUUUUACCUUCAAUAUCUUCCCCAGCUAAUUUAAAUCCUGAAUCCCAAAGGUAAGAAAACAGCUCUGCUCUGAGGGCAGAAAUGCAAAGCACAGAUGGGUGGCACAGAUACACACAGGGAAUUCUUGUGUCAUGCUGGGCAUCAAGCCCAAAUCCUGGGAUUUAGGCACAAUCCCAUGCUCAGUCCUGAGCCUUUCGAUAUCUCAGAGAUAUUUUCAGAGAAAUAAGCAUUUGCAAAGCUCUUUAUCAGGAAUUAUCUUGUCCAUAUUAAAAAACAACAACUACCAAAAAAAUAACCCAAAACCCAAUACCAAUGCAUUCAGGAUUACAGAUAUGUCAGAAAUAAAGGCAUAUCUUGUAUUCCAAACAUGAGCAAGGAUGCGUAUAGAGAUUUAUAUAUCUAUAAGCAUGCAGACAGUUAUGUACUCAAGCACACACAUAUAAGUGUGCAAAGGGCAAAAAGAUAAUUCCCAUCAGUUCUAGUGACAACUUCAGAUUUCAUUUGCCUCUUUCAAAUUCCGUUCCAAAACUGCUAAGGUGUUAGUUGUGCUACACUUCUGAGUGAAUAAAAAACAAAAACAGAAAACAAACAAACAAACAAACAAACAGCAAGAGAUGGACAAUGCAACACAUUUGUCCACUGUUAACCUGGCAGUAAUGGCAGACUGGCAGUGACAUAUUUAAGUUCACUUACACGAAGGCAUCUUAAAGCAUUCCUCAAAACCUCCUGAUGGCAUGAAAACUGCAAGGCUUAUCUCACCAUGGCACAGUGCAGCCACCUGGGUGACUUGCUUGUUGUAGUGAAAGGGAGGAUGACUCCAGAAACUGGCAGCUGGUACUGCAGUCAGCUCUACAAAAUGCUCUUACAGUAACCAGAGAAAAGACCUAGCCUGCCUCAGGUAACCAGGUUCCUGAAUUCACCCAACUACAGAGAUUUUAAGCAAUGCUAAAUAAAAUAACUCUAAGUAGGCAGCUAGAACGCCUAGGACACUAUUUUUAAUGAAAUACACUGCUUCAAAGGAAGAGGUAUCUCAGCUGUUUAUUUUCUCCUCACCUAUUUCAUCACAAAGUCUUCCCACUUCUAGGUGGGUACCUACCAUUCCCUGUCCUCCCCCAGAACAGAGUUCCUGGAGCAAUUGUGGAGAGCCCUGCACAGACCUUUUCCUUUGCAUACUGCAGAAGCUCUACUGAGUAAAAACCAACACUUUUACUGCUGAUGUUGCACCUAUGAUUUAAAUAUCAUCACCCUCCUCCCUUAUUCUUCAUUAGCUUAUUCAUCAUAGACUAUGCUUGUUUCAAAAGAAUGGGAUAGCAAGUACUUCCUUUUCCACUAGAAAAAAAAAAAAAGGAAGAUUGAAAAUAUUUAGGCCUCAAUGUAAGCUUGAAAAAUUCUUCAAUUUUUUUUCCAUGAUUUUUUUCCAAACGUCUUCCACAUUUAGAACAGCCAGAUCUAUAAAACAUAUCUCAGCAUGCUGAGCAGUGCCUGAAAGCCGGCUUCAUUGAAAGGUGAACAUUCAGGAGCAUUUCCAGCAGGAACAGCAGCUUUUGUGGAACCGUGUGGCUUUCCCACGCAUUUCCUGGGAAGAAAACUCAUAACUGGUUGUGCACACAGAUUACUGCAUGUUCAGUUGUCCAGUCUACUAUAAAAUUACAUUUUACUUACAUAAUUACAGUUACAUAAAAUUGCAAUCUUAUAACCACUGAGUAAGUGAAGAAAACUCUUAAACUUAUAAUUUUCAGACUGAAUUGCGCCUGUAAAUUUAGAAUUUUGUAUUAAGUAAUUUAAGGACAGAUGAAAAAUAAACCUGGACACACCUACACACUCUCAAAGGAUUUGACAUGAUUAAGAGUACUGUGUAAACAUGAGUACUGCAUUCAUGCAAAAAGCUGAUGUAAGUUUGCGAUGUUUAGAAUCUCAGACACUGAGUAUAAAGCAGUAAAGGGAUGCAUUUGUCAUGCUUUCUGAUUUUAUAGCUUAUUUUCAAAGUCUAAGAACAUUAAUCUCUUUGAACUGAGCUGCAAGGUAACAAUUAGCAUUUGGAGGGCUUUAGUAUAGGCUGGGAAAUUAGGUUAUGGAUGCAGUUGCUGCUUUGAUGUAGUCUUGUUUAAAAGCAUGGAUGUUCAAGUUUCUUUUUCAGCAUACAGCAAGAAUCAAGCACCUGAGGAGCAGUGCCCUUAGUCGAAAACUCAAGGCUGGCCACCAGAUGGUCCCUGCCAGUGAGGCAGAACAAUCAGCUACUUUGCAAUGGGAACUAUAGAAAAUCAGUGGAGAAUGUCAUAUUGGCAUGAAGCAGAAAAAAAUACACAAUUAAUGUAUGUGAGAAAGAAAAAUUCCUUCCACCAUCAGAAGUGCAUUUAAGUUGUCUUUGUGAUCGGUGCCUUGCAUUGCUAUGAAGGCUCCCAACAUCACCGGUUUUCCAUGGGAAAGCAAACUGCCUCACUUGCAACUGCGCCCCAGAGAAGAGGUAGAGGGCCGUGUCCAGAUUGCUCCAGCCAGAAGAAACCUGCCUGCCUGCUGUGAUGCAGAUCUACUGAAUGGAUUUAGGGGAAUGAAUGUCCUGUGAAGGGUUGGCCUGCAGGAGAUAUAUUCAAAUGAAUAAAAUAUCAGGUAUGUUUUAACUGUAACACUGACUUGGACCAAAAAAACUCAACUAAAGAAAUGCGCAUUUCAGAUGAUGGCUGUUUGACCAUGGCCUUCUAAAAUUUUGUUACAUGGAAAAAGGAACAGGCUGUUGUAUAAUUGCCAGCUGUAUGACUUCUCUGUCCUCCUUCAAUCCAUACAGUAUAGGACAUCGGUUAAGAACUGCUUUAGAUGAAUAACUGUGCUUUCUCGAUAUUACAGAAUUGAAAUACUUGGCAUGUUUUAAAUGCAGCUUGGUCUGAUCAUUAGUUUUUUUUGCUGCUAAUGUGUUUUAUUUUAUGCACUCAUUCCCUAUUUCACGUACUUAAGUAGCUCAGAGAAAUGAGCAACCUCAAGGCACACACACUCCUUGCAGAGUACAGGACCCAAUCCAGUUCACAUCGUAGGAAAAAAUUCUGAAUCCUUUGGCUCCAUCUCUAAGAGAAAGUUCAAGUUUCCUAUCUACGACAGCUGUUAGUACUCCACUGAACAUUUCAUGUUCAAACCUGUACUUUGAAAAUUUGCACCAGCUUUGCCACAAGCUUCACGAGCCAGAUGUGGGCACUGCUGCUCACCAGAUAGAGCAGACUCAAAUGUGCCCCUGGGUUUGGAGGGCAAAACUGCCGGCUCCGUGUGCCACACAUCAAUGAAGCACAGCAUAUCCACUCUGCUCUGGUGAUCUUUCAACCACAAAGCAUUGUUCUGCAACGGCAAUUGAUACUGAGGAGGAGCAGGAACCUUUCUGUGCACCUAGGAGUAGUUUUUCCAACAUGGCACCCUAAGGAAUGAAGCUGAUACUACUGAUAACACUUUGCCUAUUCAAUUCUGAACAAAUUUAAUAGGUUGAAAGACAUUUCCUGUAAGUUGCCUGGAUAUAAACAGUCAAGUAAAGGAAAACAGUUACAUGGAUGUUUCCAGUGAGGAGAAGAUUGCAGCCUGAGCUCAGAUUUUAUUGCACGUUAUAAAAUCUAUUCCACAGAGAGCUAGCGUGUGUGUCUUGAGUAUGAAAAACCUUCAUGCACCCUAUCAUAGGUCAUGUAAUUGCAAUGUGAGACAGAAAACAUAAUCAAUUAGUAAUGCUGCUCCUUAAACUACUGACGUUUAUCUGUCAAUUAAAAUCUUUGUAUAAAGUCUGUGACAUCUUUUGGCAUCAUUUUUGGUACUAGACUGCAUGUAGCAAACUGAUUGUUUUAAAAUGCUUAUUGUAAAUAUUUUAUAUGGCUCUCAACCCGAUAAGGCAGUGACAGGGAAUGCCUGGUAUUUGGGGCAUCCUGGAGGGGUGAAAAUAAAUGAUGGGUCUCACCCCAGUGGUGCCCUUUGAAGAGACCCUCGUUAGCCAGAUAAUGCUAUGGGACAGUUGUGGUUAAAUCCCAGUGGGGCUUUUGGAGUGUCAUCCACAAAAGCUUUGGUGAGAGCAGAAGUAAUUAGUUCCAGCUGAGCACACAGGCACAUAACUUUAGAAAGGUCUGGCUACUUUCAUGCUAAGAGGGGAAAAAAAACAAAGGUAUUUCUGUCCAGAAGGCUCUGGAAACGGAGAACAGCCUUUUUUAUUUUGUUUGAUGCUCAGCUAGGUGUGUGUUAGGGGGCAUAAGGACUGGAGCUUCAGGAUGGA